Molecule: transfer RNA, 73 nt
Filed under: Harpegnathos saltator (Jerdon's jumping ant)
Lineage: Eukaryota; Metazoa; Arthropoda; Insecta; Hymenoptera; Formicidae
Rfam family: tRNA
About the family: Transfer RNA (tRNA) molecules are approximately 80 nucleotides in length. Their secondary structure includes four short double-helical elements and three loops (D, anti-codon, and T loops).
Source: Rfam by way of RNAcentral
GGUCAGGUAGCUCAGUGGUCUAGAGCAGUCGUCCAGCAAACGAAAGACCCGGGUUCGAUUCCCGGUCUAGCGA